GACGAACCGUGCGAACGUUGUUCGGAAUCACUGGGCUUAAAGGGCGCGUAGGCGGGCUGUCAAGUCUGGGGUGAAAUGCCGCGGCUCAACCGUGGAACUGCCUCAGAUACUGACGGCCUCGAGGAAGGUAGGGGCAUGCGGAACUGUAGGUGGAGCGGUGAAAUGCGUUGAUAUCAUCAGGAAUACCGGAGGCGAAGGCGGCUCACUGGGGGUUAUCUGACGCUGAGGAACGAAAGCCAGGGGAGCGAACGGG
Molecule: ribosomal RNA, 253 nt
Filed under: uncultured bacterium
Lineage: Bacteria
Description: partial 16S ribosomal RNA
Rfam family: Bacterial small subunit ribosomal RNA
Source: RNAcentral